AUCCAGCUGACGAGUCCUUAAUAAGACGUAACGCGAUUCCUGUAU
Molecule: non-coding RNA, 45 nt
Organism: Schistosoma mansoni
Lineage: Eukaryota; Metazoa; Platyhelminthes; Trematoda; Strigeidida; Schistosomatidae
Source: Rfam